GGGCCCGUAGCUCAACCGCAGAGCGCUGCCCUUGCAAGGCAGAGGCUUCGGGUUCAAAUCCCGACGGGUCCA
This 72-nucleotide transfer RNA is filed under the name Candidatus Woesearchaeota archaeon. Its description in RNAcentral is "tRNA-Ala". It matches the Rfam family "tRNA". From Rfam's summary of the family: Transfer RNA (tRNA) molecules are approximately 80 nucleotides in length. Their secondary structure includes four short double-helical elements and three loops (D, anti-codon, and T loops). Lineage: Archaea; Nanobdellati; Candidatus Woesearchaeota. The record is from RNAcentral.